Molecule: long non-coding RNA, 383 nt
Organism: Manacus vitellinus (golden-collared manakin)
Lineage: Eukaryota; Metazoa; Chordata; Aves; Passeriformes; Pipridae
Exons: 3
Source: RefSeq, a predicted model, not a curated record
CAGCUGGGCAGCCAAAACUGAAACUAGCAGCUGGAGAGUGCAGCAUGCCCCGAAAUGCUCUGAAGAUAGUAAGCACCCUCGUAGUGCUAAUAUAGUAAUCACUUUUUUUACCAGCAGCUGGAUGGAGCAUAUGUGCAGUGUGCUCUCUUUGGAGAAGCUGUCUCUGUGAAUCACCGAGGUGCAGAACAAAAACAUCUGGCAUUCCCCUGUGAGGAAAGCUCAGAUAUGAAAGCUAAGGCAAGGAGCAGGAAGGGGGGCAUUCAUUGUCUCCAGUGGCUGCCUGCUGAGGAACCAUGAUGUGUGCUGAAGCCCUGCUUCUCAGGAGUAACCGACCGUCGCUCCUAAUGGGAAGUAGAGAAUAAAUCAUCUUAUCUUUCACUUUA